RNAcentral lists this ribosomal RNA (208 nucleotides) under uncultured bacterium. RNAcentral's name for it is "partial 16S ribosomal RNA". It matches the Rfam family "Bacterial small subunit ribosomal RNA", at positions 568 to 774 of the family's 1533-position model. The record is from RNAcentral.
CGUGCAGGCGGCGUCGUAAGUGGUGCGUGAAAGCGCUCAGGCUCAACCGGGCGAGGACGUGCCAAACUGCGGCGCUAGAGGCAGGUAGAGGCGUGUGGAAUUCCGGGUGUAGUGGUGAAAUGCGUAGAGAUCCGGAGGAACACCAGUGGCGAAGGCGGCACGCUGGACCUGACCUGACGCUAAGACGCGAAAGCAUGGGGAGCGAACG